GCUGCAUGGACUUCACAGACUCAAAGGAAAACACAUGGAAGAGGAGUUGAAAGACAAAGGUUGCUGCUAGGUGUUAGAUAUAAAAGUCUAGAAAGAAUCUUGUGAGAACCAAGAGGUGGGUCUGAAUCAGCCACAGAAAAGCCACAAGUUGUUUGUCUGAAUAUCUGCCGGCCUUAUGCUGGCAACUGCAGGAAGCAGAAGAGGAGACCAUGCCUGCAUCACUGAUCAUCGCACCACUUAAACCCACAACACAGGUGCCAUGCUUGAGUUGGACCAUCCCUCUCCCUCGGAUCCCUGCCCCCUCCAAAUGACUGGACCACCACGCUGAUGCACUGCUUGCAGUGACAGCUGUAUCUGACAGUUUUCUUUACUGCCUGUCUGAAGCU
Molecule: non-coding RNA, 386 nt
Organism: Phalacrocorax carbo (great cormorant)
Lineage: Eukaryota; Metazoa; Chordata; Aves; Suliformes; Phalacrocoracidae
Source: RefSeq, a predicted model, not a curated record